Long non-coding RNA from Culex quinquefasciatus (southern house mosquito), 655 nucleotides. RefSeq lists it as uncharacterized. NCBI's taxonomy places the organism in Eukaryota, Metazoa, Arthropoda, Insecta, Diptera, Culicidae. The transcript has 2 exons. The record is from RefSeq and is a predicted model, not a curated record.
UAUCCGGCGAGUUUAAGUUUUUUUUUUUUAAUUUGUUGGAUAGAUUAUAUCGAACAUUCCGGAGUCAGCGCUCAAUCGACAUCCUGCUAGGCAUUGGCAUUUUAGUGCGACUCGUAGCAAAACAGUCCGGCGCGCUGCAGCUGGAGAAUCUAAAAUUUAAGGUGCUUCUGUCGGCCGCUGACGAGAAUCUGGAAAAGCUAAGCAGCAACUCAUCCGGGAAGAGCCGACGUGGUAUGCGGUGUGGAAAAGUAAAAGACGUUUGUUGUUGUUGAACACUGGGCCAGAACAGAACACUAGAUAUAUUCUCGCUGCAUCAGAGAGUGCGUCGGCCGCCAAGGACACACUUAACCAGCUGGGCAGCAUUCCGUGGAAGAUCAACAGCGAAGUGAUGGCGUUGUUCAUCAGAGCAGCAUCUCCAUGCUGGACCUUUCCUGCCCUCCUUAUCGCCAAUCGAAGAAACCAAGAAGAAACCGUUCCGCGCAGUGAAUUGACCGGUUACGAUUGGUUCAUCCUUAUGCGCAAGAAGAUGACCCACUGGCGCAAAGCUCACCUGAUUCCCCCGCACCUGAACCACUCACUCUCUCCUUAGUUCGGUAUGAUUUUGUACACAUAAUUGAAUAAAAUCCUGUUUUUUCUGUUGAUACUGUUUAUUUUA